Molecule: ribosomal RNA, 217 nt
Filed under: Artemia environmental sample
Lineage: Eukaryota; Metazoa; Arthropoda; Branchiopoda; Anostraca; Artemiidae
Description: partial 18S ribosomal RNA
Rfam family: Eukaryotic small subunit ribosomal RNA
Source: RNAcentral
AAAAAACCACCAAAGUGGCAGACUCGCACCGGCGACGUGUCUUUCAAUGUCUGCCUUAUCAACUUUCGAUGGUAGGCUAUGCGCCUACCAUGGUUGCAACGGGUAACGGGGAAUCGGGGUUCGAUUCCGGAGAGGGAGCCUGAGAAACGGCUACCACAUCCAAGGAAGGCAGCAGGCGCGCAAAUUACCCACUCCCAGCACGGGGAGGUAGUGACAA